RNAcentral lists this ribosomal RNA (256 nucleotides) under uncultured bacterium. Its description in RNAcentral is "partial 16S ribosomal RNA". It matches the Rfam family "Bacterial small subunit ribosomal RNA", at positions 79 to 334 of the family's 1533-position model. The record is from RNAcentral.
CUUGCCCCAGAUGGCGAGUGGCGCACGGGUGAGUAACGCGUACGCAACCUGCCCCCGGCCGGGGGAAAGUCACGGGAAACUGUGAAUAAUCCCGUAUGGCAACACGAUCCCGCAUGGGUUUGUGUUCAAAGCUACGGCGGCCGGGGAUGGGCGUGCGUCCGAUUAGCUAGUUGGCGGGGUAACGGCCCACCAAGGCCACGAUCGGUAGGGGGCGUGAGAGCGUGGACCCCCACACGGGUACUGAGACACGGACCCG